CCGUUGAAGUGGUUGUAAUAGAUGUUGAAAACCAAAGCAGGUUGGAUCCAGAGAAGAGCAGAGGGGAGCUGAAACCUACUCGCCACUUUCGGAGCCCAGUUGAGGAGCAUCGUGUAGACCAAGCAAGUCACCGGAGAGUCACCGUUCUUGUUACCUUCGAUGAACUCCGACAGGGCUUUCUCGCCGUUGUUCUUGAGGUUCAGAGACCGGCUCUUAAUCUCUUCGGCGGUGGUAAGGCCUCCUUGGUCGAAGCCGUCGGAGAAAGCAAGGAAAGAGAGGUUGUUGUCAAGGUCGCUGUGCUUAGAUAUCAUGGAGCGGUGGAAGACGGAGACGCACGUGACGAAAGUGACACGUGCGCCGGUGGUUCUGAUGAGGCGACGAGCGAAAUGGAGAGAUGGGUUCACGUGGCCUUGAGCAGGGAACGUUACGAGUAGAAAGUGUGGUGGUGGUGCCAUUAAUUGUUGUUUGUUUUGUUCUUCACACUGAAGUUAAUGAAGUCCAAUACAAGAUUAUAUGUCUCUUGGAGUCUUGGGGUUGUUAUAUAUAUAUAUAGGGAGAGAGAGAGAUGUGUAAUUAAAUUUUGAUACAUGGUCAGGUAUGCAUGCACAUGCAAUGUAUACGUCUUCAUCAAAAAGAUACGCAAAACUGUAUCAGACUGCUUGUGACGUCUGUGGUGACGCUCGCUGGUUUGUAUGUACCCUUUGGCCUUCUUCGUGUAAAAAUCCAAAUUUGCGUUUGCAGACUUUGACAUUGACGUAUGAUUGGAGAUGCAAACAUUUAACUCUGUUUCCCUUUACAGCUGACAAAUUGUUGUAGUUUUGUUUGAAAGUAAAGAUGCUUGCUACCCUUUUUAAUUCACCAACCCCGUUUAAUUAUUGUUGUUUUUUUCACAUAGAUUAAAAUGAUAAUUAAAUUUAAUACACUUUUUUGCUUAUACAAUUUCCUUUUAAAUAUAAGUUCUAAAACAGUGACAGACUUACAGUUAUUAUAAACUAAAAUAUUACAUUUUUAAUAAAAUUGUUUUUAAACAAAGCUAAACCCUAGGAUCAUUCUAAUGGUUUAUUCUAUUAUUUUCAAAAUAGAAUAGAAUUCAACACUAAUAGUAUUUUAUUUUAGAGUGAAAAUCGAGUAAUAAACAAAAAAUAAAAAAAAAUUAUUCUAUUCAUAGAAUAAAUCCAAUUUUUAUUUUAUUAUAGAAUGUAAAAUAUAAUACUAAGUUAAAGAUAUUAGAAGUCUGUCUGCUACUGCUAGAACGGAAACCCCUAAGUUAUCUUAUUUCAAACAAGACUAGUUUGAUAUUGCUAAUGUGUCAUAAUUAAUGUUUGUCCUUGUUAGAUCUUCAAAUUUCUAGUAUUCUUCUUCUACGAUGUAAUAGAUUGCAAAUCAUUAUUAAUAAAACAAAGUGUUAAAAAAAUGUAAAAUAUAAUAUUAUUAGAAUAUUUUUAUUCUAAAUUCUAUUUUAGAAUGAAAAAUAAUAUUCCAAAUUCUAUUUUAGAAUGAAAAAUAGAAACUGCUCAGAGAUGCUUUUAAAAAAAUAUAUUAACAAAGAACACGGUAAACGUGAGCAAAUAAUUACUCUAUCGUUAUCAUCAUUCAUGACGUGUACAGUGUACUAGAAAACGAUAUAUCAUAUGUGGAGAAGUUCAAAUGAUUAACAUGUUCUUGAGUCUUUUAAAUCAGCGGGGAAAUGUUAAGAGAUACGUCUAACUUUCCUCCAUGCAAUGAUUGACCUGCUAGUGAAUGAACCGAAAAAAGAAAGAAGAAACAUAGUUGUAUGAUGGUUAUAAGGCUGACGGUUAUAAGGCUUAACUUUCUUAAUGUAGAUAACUUGUGAAUCAAGCAACAUAUAACCAUUAAUUUAUAUUUACAUAUGUUAUGUAUCACUCCUUGUUUUUGGAAGACCUGUCUUUUCUGUGACCACCAAGAAUACGAGAAAUUUGAAGACCUCUGCUAAACGCUUGGUUAAAGAGCAUUCUUGUCUGGAACUCGGACACAAAAGGAAACCAAGCCAAGAAAGCAACCGGCGUGAAGAGAAGCAAUCCCAUCACGAUCUCAUAGCCACGUGCUAGCGUCCUAACCGAUGACCAUAUCCUUAGAUGUUGGAUCAGAGGCUUACAAGCUUGCGCAAUCUGAUGAAGAGGACAAAACAAACGAAACCAAUGUCACAAAACCAGACAAGAGAGGAGUUUGAUGGAAGAGAAAUAUACUUACAAGAAGCAUUCCCCAGCCAGUUGGCAUGAAGGCAAGCAUGCAGAUGAAUAAGUCUUUGAUUGUUAUCAGAGGAAGUGCCAGGAGAGUUAUGAGAAUUGUAACAAAUGCGAGGAACACAAGACCCUUUAUGAUUCUGAAUAGAAGCUGGAAACUCGUGCUGAAUCUUCUCCUUCCCAUCCCCAAACCCUGCAAUGAUCAUUACACUACAUAAGUAGGGCCGGCUCUCAGAUUUAUAGGGCGAUUUAUUAAAGAUUUCAACUAAAAUUAUUUUUUACAAAUUUGGGAGCCUAAAAUUUUUUUCGGAAGUGCCUAUCUCUAUAUAACUUUUUUCAAAAACUUUGGGGCCAAAGCCAAUGUUUUAUUCGGCUUUGUCCAAGAUCGGCCUAAAUUCUCAAUGAAAAUCAACUGAGAAUGUGAAUAAAAAGAUUCAUACCUUCACAAUGAGUAGAAGGAAUAAGAUGACAAACCAUGAAGCUCCAUAAACCUGAAAACACACCAAUUCUCAUUAAUCAAAUUCAUUAAUCAACUAUUUAGAGUUAUAAGCUUAUAGCAUUACCCAAAAGCUUUGAUUCUUCCCUUUAAAGAUACUGAGCUGAUACACAAGCCCAUACUGAAAUAUAAAGAACCUCAACGCCAAGAAAAUCUCAAGUACAAUACCGCGGACCCCCGAGUGCUUAAGAUGCUCCAACUCUUUCUCCCACCAAGACUCCCAACUCUUCUCAGCCGGAACACCGAUCCCUCCCCUGUUGUAUAUCCACUUGUUCCAGUCCGUCCAGUCAUCAACGAUCUUCUGCCACUCGAAGCCAGAGGGAUUAAACAAAAAGGGGGCAAACAGCCACGUCACCACCAUGAACCAUAUCGAAACAGUGAUGAGAAUAUAAGUCACAACGCCCCGGUAAGAUUGACCAAAGAGCUGAUACACUAGCAAGAGAAUCAUCAGCUCGAUGCCCUUCACGAAGUGGCUGCGGGAAUAAAAUCUAUAGUUCUCGGCGAAUUUGGCGUGGAAGACAACAAAGCCGCGGCCUGUUCCUCUGUACUCAGCGCCUCCGUGGAACAGUGUCCUUCCGUAGUAAUGCGUCUUUGUGCCGAGCUGGAACGUGAAGAAGACAGAAGCGAGUUGUAGCUGCAUCAGGACAAACUCGAUUAGUGCGUUGUGGAAGCCUCUUUCGAGUCCAAUCUCCAUCAUCAUAGGGAGAGCCAUUAGAAAACCGAUCUGCACGAAUGAUUGGGAAGCGAGAGCUGCCUCGAGAGGCCUGUUGUUACGGAAAGCUCGUUGGUUGCUUAACCCUUGUUCAAGCCCACUGAGUACUAGGUAUAACCGGCCGUAGAGAAAGACAUAUACUGUAAGCACUGUUAACUGUCAAAAACACACACAGAAAAUGGCUUCAGACAUAGACAUCUAAUGAUUGAGACCAAUGUUCAAGAAAUGGCUAAGCAUUAACUAGAUGCUCUGUAGACUUUAACAAAUUAUUAAUUUAUUUUAUAAACAUUUUACAUUUAUAUCAAAUAUUUUAGUUUUUGGUUUAAUUAUAAAAUUAUUUUGAUGAAUUAUUAAAUUAGAUAUACAAAAUAAAAGAAAUUAGAUAAAUUCGUGAAUUUUUACUAACAUUAUUAUUUAAUUUAACAUAUUUAUACUAAUUUAAAUCGAUCUAAAGCGCUUUAGAACGAUUUAAAAUGGUUUAAACCGAUUUGAGUCUUAUAAAUCAGAUUUUAAGAAAAUCGUUUAUUUGCCACCUGGACCGACUUUUAAAACCUUGACUGAGACAGAAAAGGGAAAAACUCAACUUACCAUGGUACUGAAAUAGAAACCAAUGGUGGUGAAAUAACAAGACAGCAUCCGGAAGAAAUCAAAACGGUGUCCCAGUCUGUACAAGUCGCGGCUCAGAGUUUGCUCACCGUUUCCAUUGGCGAUUUUGGCCUCAAACAUUGAGAUCUGGUUGAGUCCCACGUCUCUCCCUUUACCGACUUGUAUAUAUUCAUGAUGAGUUACGUUUCCUUCACGCAGAGUUGAGUUAAAACCUGAAAGCAGUAAUCAGAGGUAUGAGAUAAUGAAAACUACAUGAAGUUACACUAGAAGAGAUCAAGCAAGUAGACCUGCAAAGAUGUCUUCACUAAGGUUGAUGACUUUAGAAGCUUUGCAGAUACCACCUCUGGUAAGGUGAAACAGACGAUCAUUAAACAAAAAGGGGGCAAACAGCCACGUCACCACCAUGAACCAUAUCGAAACAGUGAUGAGAAUAUAAGUCACAACGCCCCGGUAAGAUUGACCAAAGAUUAACUUUGACAAUCACAAUAUCCACAUAUUUCACAAUAGGGAUGAUAAUACUUACUUUAAGGGACUAGCUAGCACCCUUUGCCCAAUCGUUACAAAGCUGUUCUCCUGAUUUGACAUAAACCAUGCAAGAGAAGACACACUGGGCCACAAGAAACCACAGACAUAGGAGAUCAAUAUUGUCUAAACAAUCUAAAAGAGAGAAACUAGAUCAUCCAGUAAGUACCUUCCAGUGAAAAUAUGCUCUCUGAGACCAAGAAUGGUAGGGAAUCUCACGCCUCCAUGCUUAACAAGAAACUCUUGCAGCAAGUUCCUCAUUUUGAAAGCUUCCUCCAUAUAGUUAUCCUAUUUUGUCAAGUCUUUAGAGGUUAAGAGUCCCCAUGAUGCUCAUUUUUUAACUACUCAUAAGCAUAAAUGAGAUUUAUUCGGUGACACAUCCUAGACAAAAGAAAAUUAAUGCAACGCACCUGGUUCAUGUCAAUUGUUUGCAACCCUUCUCCACGUGUAAAAAUGAUAGCAUGGUUCUGAUUUUCCGGCUUUCCCUCUCCUAGUAUAGCUGGCCCCGGAAGCUUAAUCCUAUAAAUGAGCUGAAAGAAAAGAAAUAUAAACUCAGUCUCUCCACAAAGUAGAGCAAUAGCAUCAAAUAUCCUCUGAUCUCAUCUUUGUAGUUUAGAAAACACACAAGAGUCCACUGGUUUGAACAGCAUCAAUACUCAUUUAGGUACCUGAUCUAGUGUUUGAACAGAUUCAGAAGAAUCCAUUGGUUUGGUCUGUGGAGCAGCUUUCACAAGAGCUGAGUAAUAAAUCUUUUCCUCUGUCCCCUUAUAACUUUCUUUAUGUGUUUGCUCCACCUCAUCAAUAUAAGCAACACGAAUAGACGGAUACCUAACACAAGAGAAUAAAGGCUAAGAAAUUAAUAACAAAGAAGAUCAAAGGAUGAAAAACAAUGAGGACAUUACGUUGUCAUAAGUCUCAAUAUGUCUUUAGCACGUUGGUCACCAGAUCUCUUAUGAAUACUGUAUUGCUGGCAGGAAACCACAAAGGUGAAUUUCAUAUCCGCAAGUGCCUGACACUGUGCCCAUAGUGACUCUCCACUCUUUGAUGCUUCUUCACUGGUUAACUCCAGAGCCUUGUAGCCUUUCAAUAAUUCUAAAAACAGAAAGGUAGUUUAAGGAGUGCUUUCACACUUGACAAGAAUCAAAGGAAACCACAGUGGAGAUUAUUCAAGUACCUUCAUCCUUUGCCAUGUCAAGGAAGGCCUGAAGUUCCAAAGCCUUUCGAUAGUACAUCAUGCCUCGCACUUGUUGAAACAAAUCAAAAGAAUCAGGACAACAGGUUUAUUACUCCAGUUAUAAAAAUGAAGAGAGGACACUAAAGUCUACAAUACAUACCAGUUUUAGUCAGAGUUUGGCCUCUGUAAGAUGCCCAUAGACGAAGCUCCUCUUCCAAAUCAUCUUUUGUUCUUAGUUCUUCUUCGCUGCCACAUUUAACUCGUUCCAGGAAGUUCGUCCAUUCGUCUGAUGUAAGCCAUGAACUCAGCUGUUACCUCAAAUACAAUUAUAGCGCCAUGUGAAAAAAGGAGAGAAAAGUGAAACCUGGGAAGAUCUUCUGCAAGUAAAAAAGUAUGGAGACUCCAUCUUCAUUUUGCUGUUCUAAACCAAAUAUGGAGAAAAGAACAUCCUCUGAAAAGUAUGGUGUUAGGACCCUACGAACAAAAAGAAGAAGCAAAAUGGGAGUUGUUAAGAUAGAGUAAGGCUAAAGCUUUCCACAUUCAUUUACUGCUUGUAUGAAACAUGAAACUGAGAGGACAGUUAAUAGAUGUGUCAUAGAUGGCCAUGAAAUAAGUUGAAAGUGAUGGAACCUACGAGAAGGAAAGCAUAUUGCGGAUCUUGGGUGCAGGAGGCAUGUCCAUGAAUAAAGAAUUUGAAAAGAAAGUAAGACGCCUUCGAGCUUCCAAGUUGGACGGAACAUCCAUAGCUGACUCCUUGACAGUAAGCAAAAGAUGAAGCCUCUUGAUCUGCAAAAUGACAAGAAAAAGAAGCAAACCACUUAGACGCUCCUCAUGCCAAAGAGAGAUCAUGUUUAAUGAAAACAAGAAUUAGACAAAUGAAAGAGAAGAGCCUUGCUUUUUCUUUCCAGGCUUCCUUUUGAGAGAAAACUGGGAACUGAAGCUGGCUGAAAUAUUUGCGCUGCUGAUGAAGAGGGGUCAUGACGUCGUACUUGACAUAAGCUCCAUUGUGUGCAGUCUCUAGUAAGCUAUGGAUUGAAAACUCUAUAUCAAAGUGCUUAAAACAGAAAAAAAAAAUGUUUGACCAGGUUCAUGCAAAUGGUCUUCUUACCUUGGAACUUCUUCGUCCAUUAUGUCUCUAGUCACCACUUCUAACAUGUUCAGCAAGACAAUUACAAUCUGAUCCUUGUCCUCCUCUCUGUUUUGUAUCUGUUGCAAGUAGAACAAACAAGCUCAGUAAUUUCCUUAAAUUCAUGCAAAUUUUGGCAGAGAUGUUCAGCAUUCGUACCAAAUAUUCGAUUAGCUGAACAAACUGGCCAUACAGAUCAGGAAGAGAACUCAGGUUCAGUUCUGUUAUCAGUGUUUCUUUCUCGAUGUGUUCAUCAAUCUUGGAGAAGAUAUCAUUUAUGACCCUGGACAAGAACAAGUUAGAAAAAGGCGGUUGGAACAAAGGAAAAGAGAUUUUAAUAACUUACUGUCUUUCUCGUUCUCCAAUAACCAAAUAAUUAAUGAGAUUCUUGAAAGAGGCAUAGCACUCGCUAACUGCACAAGUCAUGUAGCUGUCAACAGCCAGUCUCUUUUUCAGUUCACGGUCUUUUCCAUUGCUGUCUUUGGCCAUAUCCAAAGCUAUUGGGAUCUAUGACAUUUAAUCAGGAGUGCAUCAGAGCAAGAAAAAAGGAAAUGUAACACCAGAAGACAUAAUAAGUCAUAAGAUAAAUCUUCACCUUACUAGCCAGUAGAAAAGGUGGCCACCGGAUAAGAUCCAAAUCAGGGUCAGACCAAUAUGGCACAAGCAAAAGUUCCAUUUCCCUGUACACAAACCAACAUUAUCACAUAUCAUUAAUUUCAGAUUGAGACAAAAGAUAAAUAUAUAUUUGAAGCCAGACUUUACCUAUCACUAAUCAAAUCCUCUUCUCGGAAACUACUGAUUAUUUUGUUCCACAUCUGAGCAAACCGCGCUGCUUCCUUGUCUUUACUAGAUGGUAGCUGGAUACCAAAACAGAGAACACAACCUUCAAUAAAGUUCUGAUAAAGAGACAGUGAAAGCAGCUGAACAUAACAGCGGUAAUAAAACCUGAUCAAACUUCCGAGAGAAGGUCGCCUUAAAUCCCCUUUUCUUUGUAUCGUCGCUGUUAUCAUGUGGUACCAAGCAAUCAUUAAAGGCCCCUGGUAUGGACUGGAAUCUUGACCUCAACAUUGCAAGUGUCCGGAUCUGAAGUGAAACAAACUUCUUUCAAGAGACUAUCUCACUUGGUAACUAAACAAGUGAAUGUAUGCCACUCCGUUAUGUAAAUUAAGUAGUCCUAGUUGUUUUUUUAAUACCUCUCCAAGACGGCGGAAAGCUCCAUUCAAACCUCCAACCAGAGUUGAGACGAUAGCAUACCAUAUUUGAGUGUCCAUGAAAUAAACCUGCAUAUAGAAGUUAGCAUAUAAUAAGGAGAAACAACAAGAACGAAAGAGAAUAUAAGAAUUAACAAUAUGUGUAAAAACUCACGAGAAUAACCGGUGACCACAGUGCAAUGACGACUCCUAAAUUAUUCUUUGCUGCAGAAACAAACAAAACAACGACAGAGUUAUUAGACAAAAUAGCAUUACACAAUAAUAACAAAUCCCAACAUUCUAUAUUCCAUUACCAUGAGGGAAAAACUCAUGCCAGCUGUAGACGGAUAUAUGGAUUCGCAUUAUAUCUUUGGUUGGACCAACAAGGGGCUUAAUCUGUUUUAAAGAUGGAAAGCAUGAGAAAUAUACAUUGAUGGACUGAUAUGAAUGUCAAUAGAAUCUCAGUGCCUGUUAAUAGAAAAGGUUCUUUCAUAUUUCUCUUGUUACUAAACAUAGACAUCACUACAAAAACAUGUGAUAAUACCUCAGCGUAAAAACUAAAUGCCAGCUUUGAAACCAGAAGAACAAUCCAAAACAUCGUGUACCUAGAAAUCAUUAAGUAGUGUUAACAGACCAACCAACAUUUCACUAUUUCAGCCUGAGGGUGUAAAGAUUUUAGGCUCCUUACUUGAAAAGUGACAACGCACUCUCAUGCAUACCCCUUCCUAUGUACAGCCGAGGCUGUACCACACAACAACCAUGAUAAGUCAGAUAUUUUCGGUUCAAUACAAACAUUUAAUCAAAGAUAAAAGGCACAUGGAUAAGGUCGUACCUGAGACCACCACAUCAUCAGCAUCAUUAUCUUGAAGUCCGAUCUCUCGAGAUACCGUCGAAUGAACGGAAACAAAAACAGCAACGCAGAAAGCAUGUUCGGGGACAAGUAGAUAAGAAUCGCCACAAUGAAAAGGGAAGGCGAAUUAUGGCUGUGUCCACCAAACCAAUUCUUUAUGGUCAGCGCAAAGCCAGAAGCGUUUUUCCAGCUGUAGGCGUAAGCAACCGGCAUGACUAUAACCCACCCUGCAGCCGCACCAGCCUUCAAGACGUAUCUGAGUUUCACAUAGUGUGACAUGCUGUGUCUUGCCUUCCAGCUCAGGGCUAUGUCAAGGAGAGCUGUGAAAUAUUAAGAGAAAACAGUCAGAAAACUGAUAGGAAACAACAGAAUUUUUUUAACAGUGUAAUGCAUCAUCACCUUGUGCAAGCUUUAGUACAGCUGCAGUAAUGAAAAUGCUCAGAACCUUUAGGAAGACAUCACCCUGAAAGAUGGCACUCAACUCUCCGGAUCCAUUCCAUGCAAUAACAAUCAUUGCCUUAACAAGAAACGAUACAUCAAAUAACACAACAGGUGAUAAAAAAUACAAUAUAAUUGGAAGAUAAGCAUACUAAAUACGUACUUGCAAACACAGGAUGUAGAAACUCCACAUUCUAUCAAAGCUUCUAAAUAUAUGCCAGAAGGAGCGUAUCUCAACAAAAUUGACUUUUCCCAUCCACCGAUCUCCACUAUUUGAUUUUAUCUGCACCAUUGUGAACAAUAAAACAAUAAAUUAUAGAUACAGAAAAUUUGAGACAAUUGUUUAGUCUCUAUUACUCAUACCUCGCUGUUCUCAACUCGAAGUUCUUCAGCUGUCAGGCAAAAGAAAUCAGCAUCAGCUCGCAGAGGCCACCCUAAGCGAAAACAUCGAAUUGACCUGCAAAGUUUACAGGCAACAAUUGGAUUAAGACCACCAUUAAUUAUGAUGGAUAGCAUGAGAUUCCAAAUAGUUUAUAAGCAUUUACCAAAAAUACUCAUUCAAGUCAUCAUAGUUUCUCCAAACAGAAUGCUUUGACUUUCCAUCUCUACUUCUCUUUGCUUCCUGUAACACACAAAGAUCAUUGAAGGAAGGCUCGAGAAGAACCACCAUAAGUUAAAUCAAAUAUAAACCUUUGCUAUUGUCUUGUAUAUAGGAGUCACUACUUUCUGCAGGAAAGCUUCAUCGUCACCACCAUAAGCUGGCUUUACAUGCUCCCCUGUUAGAGAACUAACACUACCAGCCAACAUACCAUACAACUCGAAAGCCAUCUGCACAUAUACAAAAAAAAUUAAAAUUAAACUUAAACAGCUAGGAAAAUGUUAAAUCUUCUUCUCAAAUAAUCAGAAACUGAAUUGGAUCCGUACAUGGUGGUAUAUAUAACAGAGGCAUUCUGGCAUGAAUCUCAGGUUUGCUGCUUCUCCCCAGAUCAGAAGAUAAAGUCCCAUGUAGAGCAAUUUACGCUGCUGUACCUCUUGUUGAAUAGUCGGCAACCUUCAAAUUCCAACAAGAGGAUAAAUUAGACAGAAAGUAUUAUAGUCUGGUAAGUUAAUAAAGUAUGAAAUCUCACCAAAGACUACUUUUCCGACCCAAGUACUUGCACCACUUUUUGUAGUUUCUGAACAGUUUCUUCAUCACUAUGGUCAAGGCCCGAUCAUCCAACUAGAGAAGUUAUUGCACAACAAUCCCUUCAGCACAAAUGCCUAAGCAAAAAGCAAAAAAAAAAGACAACAAAACGCAUACCUUUGGUUCUUGUUCUGGUCUUGGAUAUUGUCGGAUGUGGACAUUAGCAAGUAACAAGAUCAAGUGCUCUCGUUGAUUGGAAACACUAUCUUCCUGCACUCAAAUUGUUGAAUAAAAAUUCAGUAAAUACAAAACUUUCCAAGUCAGAAUAUUCUCUAACAUAAUCACCUGGAAACCAAACAUGGACUGAAGCCAGUCUAGAAUGUCUUCGUCUAUUUUCUUCUUGUGACCUGCUUUCCAUGGCAAUCCCCUUAUAUUUCUAAGAGCGGUGACAGCAGCUUGUAUCUGCAGAACAUCAUUCAAAACAGAUUGCUUAGAGUAAAAGACAAUUAUAAAAAAAAAAAAAAAACAGAACAGUAAAAAGCUAAGCAGGUGGAUAAAAAAACCUCAGGCAAUCUCAUUAUAGCCUGAUUCUGACUAUCAGGGUCUAGGGGAAGUAUAUUGUAAGGCUUGUAAAUCUGUGUCUUCUCUUCCACCUUCUUCUGCUGUUGCAAAAUCUACAGCAGAAGAAGGAAAAAGAAAAAAGAUGAUAAGAAACAGAUGUUGAUCAAUAAUACUACAUUGGAUAAUAUCUAUUAUCAGCUUCACCUUUACAGGCACUGGCACAUCUUCUGUCUGGUUAACAGCCUUCAAGACUUCAAAGAGAACGGAAGCAGUUUGAUAGGCCUUUGUAAGUUGAGCACUAAAGGUAAAAAAGUAUGAAUUGAAAACGCAGUGAGAAGAUAAAAGCCCCAAGUUUGAAUAAGUUUUUGUAUUCAGUCAAAACACAAACUAACCGGUCAGCUUUAUCAGCAGCAUUCAAAGCGUGGAUGUACUUCUCGUAGUAGUGUUGAUAAAACCUCUGCAUCUCACGCGCAUCACUCUUUUGCCUUCCUGCCAAAGUUGUUUCGUUCUCCUAGUAAAACCAAAAUCAAAACCGGCAUGAGUUCACAAAGAUGUUAGUGAAAACCAUAGUGUUGACAUUCAUUCACCCUUUCUAAUCGUUGAAGAAGAGCAGUCUUAAACUGGCGAACACCACGUCCACUCGAUGUCGGAUCAAGCCUAUGCGCCUUCUCAAAUGCGUAAAAUCGACCUGGUAAAAUUAUAUCAUCGAAGAUCAUUAAAGAUGAGUAAGUGAAGUUUCAUCAAUCACAAUCAAAAGCAAACUCACAUAAGUAAGCAACUCGUGGGUUACUAGCUUCAACUUCAUUAGCCACACGAAGAAUCGGAGCAAUCUCCACUAAAGAAGAUGGCACCACUUCACUAUCUAGCAUAGCCUCUCCGAGACUACCAAGGGUCUGAGUCCGUUGAAUCGGCCUGUGCGGCCGAGACGGACCACUCUCCCUUCUUUGAGACAUCUUCUAAUAUCUUCCGACAGUCAGUAUGAACUACCAAAUUUAAGUACUUGUCAAAAAAAACAGUGAAAUUAAAUAUCCUAAAUAGUAGUAAGAUGUUACUUUAAUAGGUAAGCAAACUUUCGAUUCAUCUUUGCAAAAGGUUUAAUCACUAUAAACCACGUAAUAAACGAGAAAAGCUAUCUUAUUUUUUUUGAAAAGAAACAAAAGCUGCAGACGAUGUAAAGCACAAACCUUUAGCACAAUUCAACAAUCCAUUAGCCAAAUUCUGAUUCUACAAACAGAAAGUUCUAAUCUUUACAAAGCUUAUAACCAGUUUAAGCAAGCUAAGAACAAAGACCUAGAAGAUGGAUCAUCAUGAGGUAAGUAAAAAAAAAAACAGUGAAAGUUGAAUUUUUUCGAAACCAUAGAAUCAGAUAAGUGAAACCCACAAUCAAAACAAGGAAAAUUCAAAAGACCCAGAAUCUGCCAAAAUCGAAACACAGUGAAAUGACCUAAGAUGAUCAAUUACCUGACGAGAAACGGAGGACCAAAUACUCAAGCAAGCGAUUGAUGAGCAGAAAGUCAAAGUCAGCAGCUUUAUUCUUCGCCGGUUAAACGGGUCUCCGGCGACGAGAGUCGACUAGAGAGAGAGAAAACGCCGGAAGAGGAAAGCAACGGCUUCGAGUCAGGCGCCAAAUUUCUAUAUAGGUAGACCUUUCCUUUUUAGCAGCCUUUCAUUUCAACCACUAAUAAUUUGCCACGUCAUUAUUACUUAAUGACGUUUUUAUAUUUUUGGAAGCCGCUGAUUCGUUUUCCUUUUUUACUAUAUUUUUAUCUUUUUCUUAAUGUACAUUAUGGUUCGAAAAGUCAAAUGAGUAUCAUUACGUCCAAAAUAAUGAUUGUCACAGUUUUGUAUUCUAUUGGAUAAAACAUAAAUAAAAGAGCUCAGAACUUUAUUUUAAUUGACUCGUGGAUAUUGUAUAUUAGUUCAGUUAUUAUUAUUCUCUGUUCCUGAAUAUAAGAUGUUUAGGUAGAAACACACAUAUUAAAAAAACUAUUUUUUGUCUAGAAAAUAUCAUUAAAACUAUAAAUUAAUAAUAUUCAACCAAUUACAAAAUAGACUAUUAAAAUAUGAUUGGAUACACAAUUUUUAAUAAAGUAAAAGUUACCUAAAAAAAUGAAAACAUCUUAUAAAUUGGAACAUUAAAAUUCUGUAAAACGUCGUAAUUUUACAAACAGAGGAAUUAUUCAAGAUGUUUAUUAAUUAUUUAAUAUGAGAUAUGAUGUAUCCAUGACUCAUCAAUUUUGAGCAAAGCGUUUGUUGGACUGCAAUGUCAUCAAACUUGAUUUUCCUUCGAAAUUUUUAUAUAAGUGUUUCUCUAUAUAUGAUCAUCAUAUAUUAAGAAGAAAAUAAAUGAUCAUAGCGACUAUUAAACAUUUAUUCUAUUAGCUUGUCGUCUAAUCCAACUAGUAGUGGUUUUUGUUGCUGAGGUCUCAUGCAUGUCGUAAGCGAGUCAAGCUCUCAUUAGUCAAGAACAGUGGUCUGAGAUAGUAUUAUUCUAGGCUUUCUAGCUAAUUCACACAUUUUCUUCUUUCUGAUAAUUAAAACUAAAGAAUAAAUGCACAACUUUCCUACCCACUAGAUAUUUCCAGUAGUAGUGUAUACACUUUAUCAUCAUUUUUCCUCCUUAUACAAGUAGCUUUCUUUUUUUUUUUUUGAUCAAAAUACAAGUAGCUUUCUAUAAAGAGGUACCAGCUAUGAAUAAACUAUCAUCAUUUUCUGGUUGCCAAAAUAAAACUAUAUUCAUAUAUAUAUAUAUAUAUAUAGCAUAGAAAAUCGGUUCGAAAGAUAUGAUGAAUAUUUGAUGACGAAUACUUAACUAACAAGCUGACGUUUUGUUUCUCUUGUUUAACACGGGCUCAUGUCAUUUCUUGUUUUCUUAAUCAAUCAUGAAUCAAAUCCCUUAGAGCAUCAGCAUUGGUCUAAGGGAUAUUAAAAUAAUAAAAAUCAAUGAACCUGUCUCUUGAGAGUUCACUCCGGUGUACCCGGAUUAUCACUGUAGCGCGGGCCCCACGACACGUGGCGGCCCGCGAUUGGUCCUAUUAAUAUAUAUUUUUUUUUUAAUACAAAAAUCAAACAGAAAAAAAAUAAUAAAAAAAUGUUUUGUGAACCCCUUCCAUGGGUUCACUAAUGCUGAUGGUCUUACCUAUUGCCAAGAAGGGAAUGCAACUUGACGAUUGUGUCAUCUUCCUCGGCCGUAAUAUUUCCUCUUUUCAAGUCCAUUCUCAAAUAGUUUAUCCACCUUAAUCUAAUUUAAUAUUAAUUAACAGUAUUUUUAUAUAUUUAUCAACCAUCUUUAUAUACUUUUACAUACACAUACAUGUGCACAUUGACGUGAGCACCUUAUAACUAAGUAUUUACCACAAUUGAAAUAUCUAAUUUUUUUGGAAGUUAAAAUAUUCUUUUUCUUAAUGUUUCUUUCACUAUCGACCAAAUUGUAGUAAAAUGAUUUGUCUUAAUAAUUUUUUUUUCUUUUUUUUUAAACUAUUAUCCGUUUAGAAACUAUAAUAUGAAACUAUUGGUUCAACAUCACGACUAUCUAAGAAAACAAACAAGUUAUAGUAAUUUUUGAUUAUCACAUAAAAAAAACCAAAAAAUCAAACAUUUUAACCAAACAAACCAAAUAAAUAUUGAUUUAAAAUGAUAGUUAUAUUUUAGGUGAUUAAAAACCAAAAAAACAACCUAAAACCGAACUGAUAUCCAGAUUAAUGUUUAUUUAUUAAAAAAUAGCGAAACUAAUAAUCACAUUUCCGUGCAAUGCGCGGAUUAUUACCUAGUUGGAGAUUAAAUUACAAAUAAACUUUAUAAAAAAAAACUUUAUAAACAAAGGAAUUUGAACAUUAUCUAACAUGCAAAAACAAUAUUCAAACAUAAUUCACCAGAAACUACUGAAUCAUAUACGUGGUGACGAUGAAGGAGAAGCAAGAGAAGAAGAGAGACUCAUGGAAGAAGGAGAAAUCUCGCCGCCUGCAGGCAUAUCCUGAAGAACCGCUAGAAUCCGGCUGAUGCUCAUGGAUCUCGCUGACCGGAAACUAUGAAGUCUCUUCAUCGUGAUUGACUUAGAGAAAACACUCGAAGAUCUUCAUCGUGUUUGACUUAGAGAAAACACUCGAAGAUGUAGACAGAAUAAGAUAUACAAGAGCUUGAACCAGAGCGAAAAUGCUCACUUUCAUCAGCAUACCUUCCAAGCUUCCUUCCAUUAAUGAUAUUAAGAGUCACACAAGAAUUAUAUACUGCACCGUUGACUUUGUUAUUGUUGUUCUUGUCUUAAGAUGGAUCGAUGAGUUAGAGAUUUAAUUUUUUCAGGCAAAGUCACUUGUUUAAAUAGGGCUUGACACAAGAGUGAGCCUUAUUUGACCAGAGUCAAGAACGUCGAAGUAACGAAAUAAAAUUAUAAUAUAGUUUAUAGAGGCCUUAAAUUUCCAUUAGAACUUUCAAUCAUAUCUGGUCAAAGCAGACGUGAAGUUUUCGAUUAAAAAUAUUCUAAGACAAAAUGAUAUGUACUAGAAACAGAAUGAAAAUUCAAGAUUUUAUCUUCGAAAACAAAACGACAAAGAUCAUGUUGUAUUUAUUUAGUUCAUGUGCUUAAUUAUUCUCAACCUAAUGUAUCAAUAUAAGUAACAUGCAUGCACUGACGCACAUGAUGGCAUGAACAUACGUGCGCGCGUACGUAAGAUAUAACCGUAUAUAUAAAGGUUUUAAAACGUGAACGAAAUAAAUAUCUGUUUGCAUUAUAUCAAAUAAUGAGUCAUUAAGACAUAAAUGUUCAAAUUGUGAUCAAUUGAGCAUCUAAAACCUUCAGUUAGAUUACCCAAACCCACUUUAUGCCAAAGACCUCAUGAUAUUCUAACAAUUUGUGCGCUUCAUCAAACUGAACUUCACUGAACUAGUGAAAAUUUUACCCGUCUGCAUCCAUUCACAUAUCGCACAGCUAGAUAAUCAAUCAUAGUUAAGCUUCAUUAUUCUUUGAGAGUAGCUCUCACUACACGUUGAUGUCCUGAUGGAUCUCCCGAAAUGUUUCUGCAGCGUUGCUGGUUCGGUCUAAUGGUAUUAUUUCCCGUCAUCAAAUCAUCAUCCUUCGACAAUGAACUCUUCAUUCUUAGACACAACUUCAUGUGUGAAUGCAUCUUCUCGGGUUUGAAUGACUUCCCACAUUGCCUAUAUUAUGAGUUACCAUCCAUUUUAAUUACAUCAAUCCUAAUAAUAUCAUUAAGUGAUAAAAAAUAGUUAGGCUUACGAGCAUAGUGGAGCCAUUGAAGGCUUGCUUGAAGCCACCUUUGGUUUACAAAAUUCAAUUGUGUCUUUCAUCUUUAUGGCAUUCCAUGCCCCUUCAAAGCUUUUUCUAUAUAACCAAAAGAAAAAACAUGUUACCAAUUUGAUAUAAAUUGUUGAUAUAGUAUAACAAAUAUUAUAUAAUUUAAUUAGCUUGAGAGCGCCAAUGAUAUGAGAACUAGUCAGCUAAAAAGUAAUGAUUUCUAGUUGAAAUAUAUCAAAGAGUACUAGUCCCAAUCAUAUGCGGCAGUAACAGCUAAACAGUAACGAUUUAAAUAUUUAAAUCGUUAAACAACUAUUAAUAAAUUGAUUAAAAAUACGAGUAGGUAGUACUUUGGAGCGUACCGAGCAUUGUGCUGUUGGUAUUGGAAUCUGGGUUCAUCUUCCCAAGCCGCACCAAAAGACCUUGACGCAGACUUAUUCAAAGGCACUAAUACGGCGUCGUUCGUGUCCAAACCACCGCACUUUAUCAAAUUCCUUAGCACUUGCGAGGCACGCGCGCUCGAAUAGCUCUUACCUUUAAUAAAACUCGAAGACGACGUCGUCGACGAUACACUUGUUCGACCUGACUCUGUAUCGUUACCCGACACUUUUCCUGUCGACCCGUCUCCUUGGCCGGAUACUUUUUUCAGACCUGGUUUCUUUAGAACGAACGUUUCUUCUUCGUUUGUGGUGGAUUCAUCGGUGACCGUCGACGUUGUCGCCGUCGAACGUUGAGAGCAGAAGACGGGAGACUCUUUGUGGAUCAUGUCCGACGUAAACUUCGACUUCAGUAGAUUUUCUUUAGCGUCAAUACUGCCGUCACCGACGUUUCUUGUCUUCCAAGCUUUCUUUUCCGGAUGAGGAGACUCCUCUGUUUUAAAAUAUUAAGAACCCUAAAUUAACCUCAAUUCAUGGAAUAUAGUGAUAACUACAUGACAUACCCUUUGGAUUGUUUAGAAGAAUCUCAGAUCCUUUGAGAACGUAUUCAUUAUCGGAGAUGGGAGUAAUAAGAUCGUCAUCCAAUAAAUCUUGCCAGACAUAUCCAUUUUUAUACCUCCUGUAACAUCCCAAGAUCCAUAUUCAAACCACUGAUACAUAUAUAAAUCGGUAUAAUCAAUAAUUUACGUAAUAUUUUUACCUUUUACACGACCAACAGUAUUGGUCUGGCAUCGCACUCCCUCGUACACCCGCUAACCAUCGCUUCACAUCUACGUUUCUAACACAAUUUUAGAUGAGACUGAUCGAGAUAAAAGAGAUAAAGAGAAGAAAGAUCAAUCAUUAACCUCGAAGAAAGACACCAUUACGGGAGAGAUGAUGAACAGACAAGAGAUGAGGCUGGUCAACUUGACCAGAACGGCUGCUAAGGAAAUAUACUAAUUUCACUCUUCUUACUUCUCCAGCUCCACCAAUAUUACUUUCCAUCUGUCUUUUUUGUCUUCGAAUUUAUUCCUUGUUGAGUCUUUUGCAAAAGAACUUGUAGAAGCCAAAGGUACUUAGAUUUUAAACAAUAUAUAUGAAAAAGCUCUCAAAGAGUUUCGUUUAUCUGCUUUUCAGACAACAAAGCGACAAGAGAUCGGACUUAAAAACAAGUACAAGGGCUUCUUUUUCUUCUUUUGUUAACUUAUAGACUCUUUUAAAUUUGAUUUUUGAGAGCAAAGGUUAGUUUAUUCCCUGAAUUUUGAAUGUAUAAUAAAAUAUUUAGGUAGAGACAAAAAUAAGGCAUGUUUGUGGAGACAAACCCAAACAUAUGCAUAGACAGAGGUGAAAAAAGUCUCUGCGGAUUAACGGAAACUGCUUAUGUAUAGUUCGAGUCCAAAAAUUAAGCAUAGGGUUUCGAGCUCACUCACCUUUUGUUUUGCUUCCUUGGUAAAAUAUAUUUUUAUGGAAGUUCUCUCUCUUUAACUCCUUUUAAUGUUACCUUAAAGGCCUAAAAAGCUUAAACAGAAAAUAUCUUUAAGAAAGAAAAGGUCUUGAGUAAUAAAAUAGUUUUUUGACGUCGAAGAAAAAAAAAAAAAUCUUGCAGGAGAUAUUGAUGGAUUAUGGUUAAAGACUUAAAGUGGUCUUAGUCUUUGUAAAUCUAAAGAUAGAAAGAAGAGAGAGAGACUUUUUAGCAGAUUUGUCGUGAUUUAGUGAUUUAAGAGCAUGAUUAACUCAGGAUUCUUAGAGUGGAGUUAUUAGCGGAAGUUAAGAAACACCCACUAAAAAAAUCUCGGGUUAAUCAUUGUCUAACAUUUGCGUACCUACCACCUUUGAGAAAUUUAUUUUGUGUAUAUACGCAGGAUAUUUGUCUAUUAUACGAGAUUUUAAAAAUAUCCAACUUUUAGGUUUUACCAUAAACACAAUCCAGAAGACAAAAGGCAUAAACAAAUCCCAAUUAUUUGAACUGUAAUCUAAUAAGGGAAUGUUGAGUCGCCUAGGGAUAAGUAAUAUUAGAUGGAUAAACUAAAAUAUAUCUUUUCCUUUGAAAAGAACCAAAUAAGAAAUAAAAAUGAAGAUAUAUGAACUAAGAUGAUAAAAUACUAUCUCAUUUGAAGUGUUUCAAGAAAAGAAAAACUAUCUCAUUGAAUUUUUUGAACUAUCCCUUUAACAUGAACUCAUGACUAAAUCAAUUUCAUUCAAACUUACGAAAUUAUUUUGGCUAACACGUAAAAUAAAUAUUGACAAAUUAUUAUGGUAAAUAGUGAAAAUUAGAAUGUAAAUGAUCUAAUAAAAACACUCAAUAAGUUCUAUUUUGUACUCUGUAAUAAAGGAAGCCGAGUUAAUUAGAUAAAAAAUGAAGUGGUUAUAAUUAAUUUAAAAAGAAGGGGAAUAUGUAAAAAAGUAACUUAAAAUUAGGUAAAUAUUAUUGGGAAAAUUGUUUUUUUAGAACAAAAAAAUGAUAACUAUGUCCUUUUACACUAAUCUCAUAUACUUUAUGUCCCAUUAGACUAAUUAUUUUGAAAAUGGCAAUAAUACCCUUAAAGUUGUAAUUUUUAAAUAUAAUAAAUAAUGGGUUCGAUCGAUCCAAAAUUACAAGGUCGAAUGGAUCGAUCGAUCCUGAUCAUUAUUCAGAACAAAAAAAAACACGAAGCAUAUACAGAUCGACCUGGUCCAUUUCACUCGAUCGGCAAAGGUCGAUUUCAUACAGAUCGACCGAUCUCGAAUUAUAGACAGAUCGAUCUCGUGCCCAUGUAAGUAUUCCAAAUCGAUUUCCUGGUUUUCUCCGGUUAUAUCCGGUUUGAUUUCAACUUGAUUUGAACCGACCAAACACGAUUUCAACUCUUUAAACUCGAUUUUUUUUGGGAUGAAACCCAUAAUUUCUCAUCUCCUUCACGGACAAAGGGGAAAAAAAUCAAAGUCUCAAGUUCAUAAAACCUAACUCACUCAAUUUCACACUGAUUGGUAGAAAUAAUGUGAUUUUUUUGUGAAAAUUUUGUGAACAAGCAAUGGAAUAUAGAAGACGGCGUGAGAAGAAGGUUACCACGUUUUUUUUUGCUGUUUUUUUUUAAAAUCGUUUUUUUUUCAAAAUAUGAAAGUGGAUAUUCUCAAAUAUUUUGUUUUCAUAUUUUUUGGAACUGAUUUCUUAUCCGUAGAAUACAACUAAUCUGUAGAAAUCGAUUUUUACAGGGUUUUAGAAUUAUAGUAAUGUGUAGAUUUUGAUUUCUACAUGUUUUAGAUUUACAGUAAAUCUGUAGAAGUCGAUUUCUACGUGUUUUAGAUUUAUAUUAAUGUGUAGAGUUUGAUUUCUAAAGAUUUUAGAUCGGUAGGUUAAGCGCAGAAUAUGUAUUCUAAAUAUUUUUUGAAUAUUCUUAUUUACGUAAAUCACGUAUUCUAAACAUUGUAGAUUCAGUGAAAAAAAUAGAUUUCAUUUUCUACUUCGUAGAAUGCCAUUUCUACUUUAUUUAGAACAUAAUCUGAAAAUUAUGAUUUAAACCCUUUUAGAACUGAAAAAAUACCACUAAGUUCAUAUAUGUAUUUUAUCAAUAGUUACUAUUUUCCAAAAAAAAUUUUGUUUGUAAAACUAUUUAUUAAAUUUAUUUUCAAAAAUAUUAAAGGAUAUUAUAGAUAAAAAUGACAUAAAAUAGAUAUUAGUCUAAAAAACGUAAUUAUCAUUUUUUUGCUCUAAAAAACAAUUUUCCCAAUAUUAUUUUGUACUUCAUAUAUACUCACCGGUGACAAAAAAAAGAGAUGAAUAUAUAUUCUUGCCUUUUAUAGAUCUUUGACUAGGACUAGCGUAUAUGUACACUAUUUUCUUUCUUAUAAUAUUCAUACUUUUCUGGUAUUCUCUUCAGUUUGAGACUUUGAAUAGAGCUCCUUCAGGAACGAUUGUUGUUAUUUCUCAUAACAUUUUUCUUUCUUGAAUUCUGACUUUCUAUAAGUUCUACCACGAGGAAGAUCGUAUAUAUACGUUAAUAAAUCAUUAAUAUACAUCUUUCCCAAAAAAAAUUCGUAGAAAGCAGUAAAUAACCUUUUCACGUAAGACUAGCUAGUUUAAAAGAUAAUUAAUACCAUUAUAUCCGAGAUAAAAAAUAUGAUAAAACGGGUUGAACAAAAAUAUUCUUUUCGAGCAAAUUAAAUUAAUCGUUUCACAAUGAGAAAUUUCGAAUUCUCCAAACUGAAUACAAUUACAUUUUUCAAGAUCCUUCACAUUCAUUCUGGCUAAUUAAAUUAAAAAAAAAACAUAGAUUCAAAGAGCAUAUAUGUAUAAUACAACUCAUUACCUGUGAAUUCCAUAGUGGUGCUCCUCUUCUUCAUCAUCCCCAUCAUCCUCGUACAUAGACUUCAUAAAUGGCUCAGCAUCAUGAGUCGUCUUUGGCACAAUUCCAAUGGCUUCUUGAUUGUUACCGACACCUCCUCCGAUCGCUCCAACAGCUGUUGCUGCAGCUGCUGCUGCUGCUGCGGCUUGUCUGUUAACGGCAGAGAAUUGUUGAAUGACUAAAACCGACGCAUGCAUUGUGAAAUUCGACGAAGCUAAUGUGUCCCCUAUUGUCCCUAGCUCAGGACUACUGCUCCAGUCGUUUAAACCGGCGGUCACCGGAGAAUCUGAGUUGUACCCUCUUCCGACAACGUAAAGAUCGUACGAGUUAUUGUCUUCCAUUUCUCUGAUCGUAGAUAUCGUGUCUUGACCAUCAUUAACCACUUUUUCGAUAUAUUUCACGGAGGAAUCGUUCAUAGUCUUGAAGUUGAACUCAUAGAUGCACUCGUCGUCGACUUGUUUCUCCCUCUCGUACUCGGCCGCAACUUUCCCGGCCGAGACUAAAGCUUCGCGUCCCGGGACGAAUCUUACUACGGUGAGAUUGAUCUGGUGUUGUCCGACCAUCCGCCAUGCGUAUGAUAACGCCUCCCGGUCGUCUGGACCUCCCACGAAGAGCAUUGCCACUCCUCUCUUCGUGGGUUCGCCAUGGAACGACUCGGAACGGACCAUGGCCAUGCCACGGUCGACUAAAAUCCCUACGGAGCAAGGCGCAUGGUUCAACACGUUUUGGUUGAUGUCGGCGUGAGACGAGUUUCCUUCUCCCAUCCGACCGUCUGGUGUCAAGUGUUUGUGGUAAGGCAAUAUGAUGAAACAAACUCGCUUGUCCUCGGCUAAAGCGCAUAUGUCUUCGUGCAUGGUCGUGUAAGGAGAGACUGCGGUG
This 21864-nucleotide long non-coding RNA is filed under the name Brassica napus (rape). Its description in RNAcentral is "long non-coding RNA (BNAP_LNC016794)". The record is from RNAcentral. Lineage: Eukaryota; Viridiplantae; Streptophyta; Magnoliopsida; Brassicales; Brassicaceae.